GAUUUUUUUUUUCUAAUUAAGAACUCUCAUUAGAUAUGAAAGGAGAUGAUGCCAAACUUUCCACGUGGCAUGAAUAUCAAAUUGAAGUGAACAUGCCAAAAUAGCUCAAUGGUAGGUGCCAUUUCAGAUGGACCAAUUUUUUCUGUCCAUCCGUGAGCGUGCUCACUUCUCUUUCUGACAGCUCAAAACUCUUCACAUCUCCCUCGUCUUCACAGCUCAGGCUACUGAAACUUUUUCUUUCGCUUAUAUACCUCCACCUCCACUUUUCUCUCUCUAUAUGUAUCUGUAGAACUCUUGACUUAACUCAAUAUUGAGUGUUAAAAAUGGGAAGAAAAUGAAAAAGUGACACACUGAGGGUUGAGCUCUUCAUCAUGAAGAGAGAAGUUAAAACUGACUUAAGAUCGUAUUUAAUUGAUUUGAUGAAUAUGUAUAUAUGUACGUUAAUCUUAUAUUAUAAUAAUAAGAAUAAUAUAUGAUGGAGCUUGAAAUUGGAAAGCGUGACUUUUCAUGGUCCUCUAUCUGUCCUUGAAGAGGGCGAACUUCUUGUGGUACGCUUGGUUACUGUUUAACUUUAACGGAAAACUACAAUUUUCUUUUGGAAUUUUUAUGCUUUUUCUCGUUUUCACCUUCUUCUUUGCUUAUCAAAUUCAAAACCUGUUCUUGCUCCUCUUUCUCUUGUUUUCGACAUCCAAUUUUCGGUAUUUUCUCCUCUUUUUAGCUUGUCCCAGCUUCGCUACCUUAUGUUUUUGCUUCGUCUUUGUGAUCUGGAUUUGGUUGACAUGAAAACUUUUGUAACUUUGACUCGAUAAUUACUUUUCCUAAAAUGAGAAAAAUGGUUUGUUUUCACUUCUGGGAAAAUAUGCGCGACUUUGUAGCCAUGAAUGAAGUUACCCAAGAAGGCAGUCUUCUUGUACAAGUUGGGAAUCCCUUCUCUGAGCAUGCUGAUUUUGCUCUAUUCUUAUUUUGUUUCCUUCCUAGGGCAGGAGCAAAUUAGGUCUGUUUUUGUUUCCAAUUUAUUUAAGUGUAUUAUUGUUUUCAGCACCAUUUGUUGUUUGGUUCUGGGGGGCAACAACAAACAACUUCUAUUUCCUGGAGCUUAAUCACUCAGGUGCUUUGUUAUGACUUGUGCCUUAUGACUCAAAACCAGAAUACUGAAGCAUAAAAAGGUGUGGAAAUGAUGAAACAAACAAUCAUCCAAGGAUGAAAUUGCCUGGAUUUAAUUGCAACUAUACUUAGGAUAAGAUGCUUAUAUGUCAAGUGCAUUGAGUCAUUUUAUACAUAAUGAGCUAACAGUUUUGUAAUAAUUGAUGAUUCAACUAGGUUGAGAUCAACCACAUGAAAAAUUAGAUUCUAACAGAUGUUGUCAUGCCCCUUAAUUUUAAGUAACUUUUGGUGAAUUCCUCUUGAUAGAAAGACCCUUCAUUUGUUUGGUGGGCAUCUUUGGUCCCAUGAAUAGAUGGCAGCACAAUUCCUCCUGUUAGAAAAAAGGGUAGAUGUUACCUUUCAUUGUAAAGAUCACUAACCAUUAAGUAGUAAUCAAAAGAUAAUAUCCCCUUAAUUCACAUACUACAACAAAUUUCAUAAAAGGUGGAAUAAAUUACAAUCUUAUCUUUUAAAAUGAUCAUUUUGGGAUAAAACUGAAAACGUGUCUACAUAUUUCAUGUCUAAAAUUGAGUGUUAUGCUUUGGUGAACAAAAAUUAAAUUCUUAUCCCCUGCAAAGAUCAUUUUAGAAUAAAACUAAAAACUUUCCUAAAUAUUUUGUUCCUAAAAUUUAAGUGCUAUACUUUGGUGGAUGAAAUCAAACUUUUGUCCCCUAAAUUGAACAUUCUGGGAUGAAAUUGAGAUCAUCACUAAAUUGAAUAUUUUUUGUAGUUGCAAAUAUUGUUCAGUUUUUCAUUUCAUGAGCUUUACAUGCCUCUAACCAUAUUAUUGCAUGUCAUUUCUGUUUCAUUCUUAGAAAGGUGUGUUUUUGAUGAUUAAACAGUGUGACAUACUAUUUUGUUGACAUUUAUGAUUUGGAAAUACAUAAAAAUGUCUCUAAUUAGCAAAGUUGAGUUAGAAUUUAUGUUGCAUAAUAACUUAGAUUCAUUUGUUAUAAACAAGUUCUAGGCUUUCUUAAUUUAAUUGAAUAUUUUAAGAAGCAAAACUAAUCUAAAAAUUCAUUUUAUAUCAAGUGUUUAUUAUAUUUUACCAUAUAUAUGGUUCAUGUGUUAAACUAAAACCAUCUAUUGUUGUAUUUUGGGUGAGCUGCUAUGUCAACAAUUGUGACCAAAGUCUUUCGAGUUCGCCUUGUAGCUUGCUAGAAGUUUCUCAACUUGAUUUCAUUUUGAUCUUUAAAGCCUUUAGUAUAAAUUUUUUACUCAUCAAUUGUAAGAUGUUUGUUCACUAUUUGAAAGGAGUAAAAUUAUGUGUACUAACAUUGAGUACUAAUAUAUGUACUAAUGGUAAUGUGUUAUUUUAUUUUUAAUUAAAAAUUAUCCAAUCAUAUAAUGAUAUGUUAUUGGUAGUAUAUAAAUUAAUAUUCAUUAUUUAAACCCAUAGUUCUAUUGAUUUUAUCAUUGCAUCCGUAUGACAAAAAGUUGGGCAUUGGUGUUUGUGCCUAAAUACUAAUUAGGAAGCAAAAAAAUUUCUCUGAAAUCUUUCUCUGUCAAUGUAGAAUUGAAGAAAAACCAUUUAACAUGUUAUUUGAAUCUAGUCUAAAGCCUAAAGGGUUCCAUAAGACAUUUAGCGGUGGUACAUAUUCACUUACACUAACACACAUAAGGACUUGUUUUCACAUUGGAGGUAGAGAUAUUAGUAUUAAUGUUAAACCUCUACCUAUUAGCUUGAACUUUAGGGUUAACUGGUAACAUAAUAUUCAAGCCAAAACUUUUCAGAUUAGAUGUAAGCCUGACUAAAGGAAUUAUGCAAGAUUGUAAAUCAUUGGAGGGUUAUCUUAUUGAGCUUAUUUUAGGUCCAUUGUUAACUUAAUAGAGGCAAUCGAACAACAUUGUAAACCUAAGAAGCUAAUUUUUUUAUCUAUUUACUAGUUUAAGUUUUUAGGUUAGGUGGUAACUUAUCGUGAUAAUGUUAGGAACUUGGAACCUUUAACACCUGAAUCAGAAUAGGAAACUAAAGCAAACCAACAUACUAGAAAUUGAAUGAAAGAACCUUCACUACUGCUAUUUUAUAUAUGAAGAAGAACACAUUUACAAGAUUGGUCCCUUGCAAUAGGUAAAAAAAAAAAGAAGAAAAAGAAAAAGAAGAAUAAGAAAGAAAACAAACAAAACACAAAAUGAUUACUAACAAUUUAAGGAGCUAGAACCCCCCAAAUUAGCUAAAGGCUAACCAAACAAAACUCAAAUUCUUCUCUUGCUUUUUCGUUGUUGCAACCAACUCUAAUAAAUAUUCCAAUUCAAUUUGGAUCAAUUAAACGAUGUUGCAUAGCACUCCAAAACACAACAUUCACUUAUUCCAAUUCCAAUUUACCUGUUACUUGCCUAUUACAUCUACUUGUCACCUAUAUCUUCACUCCAAUCUUUACAAUUCUAUCAAUUUACCUGCUACCUUCAUCUUCACUCUAAUCUACAUAAUUCUAUCUAUAAACAAUCCUAACAAGUAUCAAAGCCAAAGAUUUCAAAUUUAACUUCCACAAUUUUAACCAGAUAAAAAUAAAACCGAAGGCUCCACGAACUAGUUUAAUAAUCUUUUAAUUUAAUUAUUUACUGAACAUAAGGAAUGGUGCAACUUUGUAAAACCUAAGAGGCUGAUCUUUUUAUCUAAAACAUGGGGAAAAUUGAUAUAUAAAUUAAUAAAAGUUUCUUAUUAGUGGUUGGUAACAUAAAGAAAUAAAACAUUUAACUCAAUGAGGUGUCCUACCUUCUUCACUAUUUUAAGCUUCCUUUGACAAGAAAUAUUUGAAUGUGGUGUGUUAACUAAUGGAUUUUAUCUUCUUCACUACUAUGAGCUACGUUUAAUGAGAAAUAUUUGAAUGUGGUCUGUUGACUAAUGGGUUUUGUUUUUCUUGAAUUAAUAUGCAUUUUCAUCCAUUUAUUUAAGAUUUUAAAUUAGCUUUUGGUAUUGUGAGAGCUGAAAUUGUUUCAGUGUAACUUAAAUCUAUGAAAAUUAGUUAGUGUAGAAGACCAUUUUUCUAGUUGUGUGCAUGAAAAAACAUUUUACAAUAAAUGACAAUGACAAUUCAUUCGUGGCCUUUAGGGGUGGAUUUGCACCAUGCUUAUGGCCAACUCGAGCUUGACUCAAAUUCAUAAUAUACAACUCGAGCUCAAGCUUCUUUGAGCUAGUUUACUGUAUUGUUAGAGGGUUGUCAAUGCAAUAAACAAUUUUACUAGCAAGGUAACAAUAUCAAUGGAGGGAUAAGUAGUGUUGUACAAAAGACAGUAAGUUGAAAUUGAGAGUUUGGCUUGAAUCAACCCCUAUGACCUUAAUUAGAUACACGAGAAAAAGGAGGAAUUUAGAUUCUCUCAUCUGGUAAUAAUAUUUGGUGGACUUGUAAUAAUAAUAUUAGUUAUUAGAAAAUGUUCUAUCCAUUAGGACAAAGAAAUUUGGAUUGCUUAUGUUAUCUUCACUCACUAUCUUUGUAGCUUGUGGUCAAUUGGCAGUUUUUAUCAAUAUCUUUAAAUAUUUGGGAUUCCUAGUUUAUUCACAGCUUAAGAUAAGUUGAUAGUGCCCUAAAUACCCACUGUUUACCCCAGAAAGGUUAUUCUUCUAAAGAUGGAACUAGAAUGUGCUAGUUGUAUAGAUGUGUGCUUCUAUUGACAUAAUUUGAAAUUGGUGUAGGUUGUGAUUGAGGUCAAGAUAUGGAGUAUGGUUUGUGCAACUUUUCAUUCUCCAGUGUCUUUUUUUUGUUUUAGAGUUGUAUAUAAGUUGAUGCUAAGGAAACAUUCAUGGUUAUAUAAUACUCCAUUAAACUGGUUUUUGUAGUGUAACAUGUGCAUGGCACACU
This is a long non-coding RNA of Mangifera indica (mango), 4943 nucleotides long. RefSeq lists it as uncharacterized. The record is from RefSeq and is a predicted model, not a curated record. The transcript has 3 exons. Lineage: Eukaryota; Viridiplantae; Streptophyta; Magnoliopsida; Sapindales; Anacardiaceae.